RNAcentral lists this ribosomal RNA (397 nucleotides) under uncultured bacterium. RNAcentral's name for it is "partial 16S ribosomal RNA". It matches the Rfam family "Bacterial small subunit ribosomal RNA", at positions 523 to 918 of the family's 1533-position model. The record is from RNAcentral.
AUACGUAGGGGGCAAGCGUUGUCCGGAUUUAUUGGGCGUAAAGAGCGUGUAGGCGGCCUGACAGGUCUGCUGUGAAAACUCGAGGCUCAACCUCGAGAUGUCGGCGGAAACCGUCUGGCUAGAGUCCGGAAGAGGAGAGUGGGAUUCCUGGUGUAGCGGUGAAAUGCGCAGAUAUCAGGAAGAACACCUAUGGCGAAGGCAGCUCUCUGGGACGGUACUGACGCUGGGACACGAAAGCGUGGGGAGCGAACAGGAUUAGAUGCCCUGGUAGUCCACGCCGUAAACGAUGGGUGCUAGGUGUGGGCGGUGUCGACUCCGUCCGUGCCGAAGCUAACGCAUUAAGCACCCCGCCUGGGGAGUACGGCCGCAAGGCUAAAACUCAAAUGAAUUGACGGGG